RNAcentral lists this ribosomal RNA (201 nucleotides) under Triticum aestivum (bread wheat). RNAcentral describes it as "partial small subunit ribosomal RNA". The record is from RNAcentral. Lineage: Eukaryota; Viridiplantae; Streptophyta; Magnoliopsida; Poales; Poaceae.
AUGCACACCUCCCCCUCCCGUUCCAUGGUGGACGUCACUCCUUCCCCGCGAAUAAGCUUCACUUCACUCCCCCUCCCAUCCUAUCCACAUCCACAUCCACAUCCACAGAUCCUCCCUGACGGCGCUCGUCGGCGGCCGCGGCAACACACGUACCGGCCGUCUCUCUCCUCCCGCCAGGGCUGCGCGUCUGACCUGACCUGA